UUAAGUUAUUAAGGGCGCACGGUGGAUGCCUUGGCACUAGAAGCCGAUGAAGGACGUUACUAACGACGAUAUGCUUUGGGGAGCUGUAAGUAAGCUUUGAUCCAGAGAUUUCCGAAUGGGGAAACCCAGCAUGAGUUAUGUCAUGUUAUCGAUAUGUGAAUACAUAGCAUAUCAGAAGGCACACCCGGAGAACUGAAACAUCUUAGUACCCGGAGGAAGAGAAAGAAAAUUCGAUUCCCUUAGUAGCGGCGAGCGAAACGGGAAGAGCCCAAACCAACAAGCUUGCUUGUUGGGGUUGUAGGACACUCUAUACGGAGUUACAAAGGACGACAUUAGACGAAUCAUCUGGAAAGAUGAAUCAAAGAAGGUAAUAAUCCUGUAGUCGAAAAUGUUGUCUCUCUUGAGUGGAUCCUGAGUACGACGGAGCACGUGAAAUUCCGUCGGAAUCUGGGAGGACCAUCUCCUAAGGCUAAAUACUCUCUAGUGACCGAUAGUGAACCAGUACCGUGAGGGAAAGGUGAAAAGCACCCCGGAAGGGGAGUGAAAUAGAACCUGAAACCGUGUGCUUACAAGUAGUCAGAGCCCGUUAAUGGGUGAUGGCGUGCCUUUUGUAGAAUGAACCGGCGAGUUACGAUUUGAUGCAAGGUUAAGCAGUAAAUGUGGAGCCGUAGCGAAAGCGAGUCUGAAUAGGGCGUUUAGUAUUUGGUCGUAGACCCGAAACCAGGUGAUCUACCCUUGGUCAGGUUGAAGUUCAGGUAACACUGAAUGGAGGACCGAACCGACUUACGUUGAAAAGUGAGCGGAUGAACUGAGGGUAGCGGAGAAAUUCCAAUCGAACCUGGAGAUAGCUGGUUCUCUCCGAAAUAGCUUUAGGGCUAGCCUCAAGUGAUGAUUAUUGGAGGUAGAGCACUGUUUGGACGAGGGGCCCCUCUCGGGUUACCGAAUUCAGACAAACUCCGAAUGCCAAUUAAUUUAACUUGGGAGUCAGAACAUGGGUGAUAAGGUCCGUGUUCGAAAGGGAAACAGCCCAGACCACCAGCUAAGGUCCCAAAAUAUAUGUUAAGUGGAAAAGGAUGUGGCGUUGCCCAGACAACUAGGAUGUUGGCUUAGAAGCAGCCAUCAUUUAAAGAGUGCGUAAUAGCUCACUAGUCGAGUGACACUGCGCCGAAAAUGUACCGGGGCUAAACAUAUUACCGAAGCUGUGGAUUGUCCUUUGGACAAUGGUAGGAGAGCGUUCUAAGGGCGUUGAAGCAUGAUCGUAAGGACAUGUGGAGCGCUUAGAAGUGAGAAUGCCGGUGUGAGUAGCGAAAGACGGGUGAGAAUCCCGUCCACCGAUUGACUAAGGUUUCCAGAGGAAGGCUCGUCCGCUCUGGGUUAGUCGGGUCCUAAGCUGAGGCCGACAGGCGUAGGCGAUGGAUAACAGGUUGAUAUUCCUGUACCACCUAUAAUCGUUUUAAUCGAUGGGGGGACGCAGUAGGAUAGGCGAAGCGUGCGAUUGGAUUGCACGUCUAAGCAGUAAGGCUGAGUAUUAGGCAAAUCCGGUACUCGUUAAGGCUGAGCUGUGAUGGGGAGAAGACAUUGUGUCUUCGAGUCGUUGAUUUCACACUGCCGAGAAAAGCCUCUAGAUAGAAAAUAGGUGCCCGUACCGCAAACCGACACAGGUAGUCAAGAUGAGAAUUCUAAGGUGAGCGAGCGAACUCUCGUUAAGGAACUCGGCAAAAUGACCCCGUAACUUCGGGAGAAGGGGUGCUCUUUAGGGUUAACGCCCAGAAGAGCCGCAGUGAAUAGGCCCAAGCGACUGUUUAUCAAAAACACAGGUCUCUGCUAAACCGUAAGGUGAUGUAUAGGGGCUGACGCCUGCCCGGUGCUGGAAGGUUAAGAGGAGUGGUUAGCUUCUGCGAAGCUACGAAUCGAAGCCCCAGUAAACGGCGGCCGUAACUAUAACGGUCCUAAGGUAGCGAAAUUCCUUGUCGGGUAAGUUCCGACCCGCACGAAAGGCGUAACGAUUUGGGCACUGUCUCAACGAGAGACUCGGUGAAAUCAUAGUACCUGUGAAGAUGCAGGUUACCCGCGACAGGACGGAAAGACCCCGUGGAGCUUUACUGUAGCCUGAUAUUGAAAUUCGGCACAGCUUGUACAGGAUAGGUAGGAGCCUUUGAAACGUGAGCGCUAGCUUACGUGGAGGCGCUGGUGGGAUACUACCCUAGCUGUGUUGGCUUUCUAACCCGCACCACUUAUCGUGAUGGGAGACAGUGUCAGGCGGGCAGUUUGACUGGGGCGGUCGCCUCCUAAAAGGUAACGGAGGCGCUCAAAGGUUCCCUCAGAAUGGUUGGAAAUCAUUCAUAGAGUGUAAAGGCAUAAGGGAGCUUGACUGCGAGACCUACAAGUCGAGCAGGGUCGAAAGACGGACUUAGUGAUCCGGUGGUUCCGCAUGGAAGGGCCAUCGCUCAACGGAUAAAAGCUACCCCGGGGAUAACAGGCUUAUCUCCCCCAAGAGUUCACAUCGACGGGGAGGUUUGGCACCUCGAUGUCGGCUCAUCGCAUCCUGGGGCUGUAGUCGGUCCCAAGGGUUGGGCUGUUCGCCCAUUAAAGCGGUACGCGAGCUGGGUUCAGAACGUCGUGAGACAGUUCGGUCCCUAUCCGUCGUGGGCGUAGGAAAUUUGAGAGGAGCUGUCCUUAGUACGAGAGGACCGGGAUGGACAUACCUCUGGUGUACCAGUUGUCGUGCCAACGGCAUAGCUGGGUAGCUAUGUGUGGACGGGAUAAGUGCUGAAAGCAUCUAAGCAUGAAGCCCCCCUCAAGAUGAGAUUUCCCAACUUCGGUUAUAAGAUCCCUCAAAGAUGAUGAGGUUAAUAGGUUCGAGGUGGAAGCAUGGUGACAUGUGGAGCUGAUGAAUACUAAUCGAUCGAAGACUUAAUCAA
This 2921-nucleotide ribosomal RNA is filed under the name Staphylococcus aureus. Its description in RNAcentral is "bacterial LSU rRNA". It matches the Rfam family "Bacterial large subunit ribosomal RNA". Lineage: Bacteria; Bacillati; Bacillota; Bacilli; Caryophanales; Staphylococcaceae. The record is from RNAcentral.